RNAcentral lists this unclassified non-coding RNA (329 nucleotides) under soil metagenome. Its description in RNAcentral is "partial contains 5.8S ribosomal RNA, internal transcribed spacer 2, and large subunit ribosomal RNA". The stretch from base 1 to 120 matches the Rfam family "5.8S ribosomal RNA", at positions 35 to 154 of the family's 154-position model. The record is from RNAcentral.
GAUGAAGAACGUAGCGAAAUGCGAUACGUAAUGUGAAUUGCAGAUUUCAGUGAAUCAUCGAAUCUUUGAACGCACAUUGCGCCCGCCAGUAUUCUGGCGGGCAUGCCUGUUCGAGCGUCAUUUCAACCAUCAAGCCUUUGCUUGCGUUGGGGCCCCGCGGCUGCCGCGGCCCCCUAAAUCCAGUGGCGGGCUCGUCGUCGUACCGAGCGCAGUAAACAUCCUCGCUCCGGGAACCCGACGGGUGCCGGCCGUGAAUCCCCCCACAUCAAGGUUGACCUCGGAUCAGGUAGGAAUACCCGCUGAACUUAAGCAUAUCAAUAAGCGGAGGA